This 444-nucleotide ribosomal RNA is filed under the name uncultured bacterium. RNAcentral's name for it is "partial 16S ribosomal RNA". It matches the Rfam family "Bacterial small subunit ribosomal RNA", at positions 338 to 795 of the family's 1533-position model. The record is from RNAcentral.
CCUACGGUGGGCAGCAGUGGGGAAUAUUUGGCAAUGGAGGCAACUCUUACCCAGCAAUGCCGCGUGAAUGAAGAAGGUCUUCGGAUUGUAAAGUUCUUUAAUUGGGGACGAAAAAAAUGACGGUACCCAAGUCAUAAGCCCCGGCUAACUACGUGCCAGCAGCCGCGGUAAUACGUAGGGGUAAAGCGUUGUUCGGAAUGACUGGGCGUAAAGGGUGUGUAGGCGGUGUAGCAAGUUAGAAGUGAAAAACCUAGAGCUUAACUCAGGGGCUGCUUCUAAACCUGCUAUACGUGAGUGCAGUAGCGGAAAGUGGAAUUCCUAGUGUAGCGGUGGAAUGCGUAGAUAUUAGGAGGAACAUCAGUGGCGAAGGCGACUUGCUGGACUGUAACUGACGCUGAGGCACGAAAGUGUGGGGAGCAAACAGGAUUAGAUACCCCUGUAGUC